CUACGGGGGGCUCCAGUAGGGAAUAUUGCACAAUGGGCGAAAGCCUGAUGCAGCAACGCCGCGUGCGCGAUGAAGGCCUUCGGGUUGUAAAGCGCUUUUCUGAGGGAAGAGGAAGGACUGUACCUCAGGAAUAAGUCUCGGCUAACUACGUGCCAGCAGCCGCGGUAACACGUGGGAGGCAAGCGUUAUCCGGAUUUACUGGGCGUAAAGCGCGUGUAGGCGGUUUGGCAAGUCGGAUGUGAAAGCUCCUGGCUCAACUGGGAGAGGUCGUUCGAAACUGCCAGACUAGAGGGCGGUAGAGGAAGAUGGAAUUCCCGGUGUAGUAGUGAAAUGCGUAGAUAUCGGGAGGAACACCAGUGGCGAAGGCGGUCUUCUGGGCCGUUCCUGACGCUGAGACGCGAAAGCAUGGGUAGCGAACGGGAUUAGAUACCCGGGUAGUC
RNAcentral lists this ribosomal RNA (440 nucleotides) under uncultured bacterium. RNAcentral's name for it is "partial 16S ribosomal RNA". It matches the Rfam family "Bacterial small subunit ribosomal RNA", at positions 339 to 795 of the family's 1533-position model. The record is from RNAcentral.